RNA transcript from Pistacia vera, 1870 nucleotides. It is a transcript of the gene named probable inactive purple acid phosphatase 29, with no coding region annotated. The transcript has 5 exons. Lineage: Eukaryota; Viridiplantae; Streptophyta; Magnoliopsida; Sapindales; Anacardiaceae. The record is from RefSeq and is a predicted model, not a curated record.
UUGACCUAUGUGAUACUUGAUAGUGUCAUUUAUGGAAUAUCCUAUGGAAGCGGCAGAAUUUGUAAUCGAAGGGUAGUAGAUAAAUGAAAUAAGAGGGAUUCUCUUGUUUGUUUGGUUGUGGUGAGGUGAAGUAUCAUUUAUGAUCUUCAAUCAACACUUAAGCUAACUAAAUCUGUAGUUGAGACUAUAAGUAGGUUUGUUUGUGGUUGGAAAUAACAGCGUAAAAGAUGAUGAUGAAUAAGAGGAGACCACCUGUUGUCUUCCUCCCAUGUGUGCGUGUGAGUGUGGUUGUGUUUUUAGUUUUAGUGUGUUUUAAACCAAUCUUGGGCGAUCAGAAACUGCGGUUUGGACGAGAUGGGGAGUUUAAGAUACUGCAAGUGGCUGACAUGCAUUAUGCGGAUGGCAAGACCACGCCUUGUGAGGAUGUUCUUCCAACCCAGGUCGCUGGUUGCUCUGACCUCAACACUACCGCUUUUGUCAACCGCAUGAUUUUAGCUGAGAAGCCCGAUCUUAUUGUUUUCACUGGUGAUAACAUCUUCGGAUUUGAUGCCACAGACGCCGCAAAAUCUCUGAAUGCUGCAUUUGCCCCAGCAAUUGCAUCAAACAUCCCAUGGGUAGCUGUUUUGGGGAACCAUGACCAGGAAUCGACUCUCUCAAGGGAAGGAGUCAUGAAACAUAUAGUUACUUUGAAGAACACUUUGUCUCAAGUCAAUCCUCCGGAGGCACAUAUUAUUGAUGGCUUUGGGAACUAUAACUUGGAGAUCGGUGGGGUUGAAGGUUCAAGUUUCAAAAACAAAUCGGUUCUCAAUCUCUACUUCCUUGAUAGUGGAGAUUACUCAACGGUUCCUGCCAUUGGUGGCUAUGGAUGGAUCAAACCUUCCCAGCAGCUCUGGUUUGAACGCACUUCUGCCAAGCUGCGGAGGGAAUACAUGAGCAAGCCAGCUGCUCAGAAGGCACCCGCACCUGGGCUUGCAUACUUUCACAUACCAUUGCCUGAAUUUGCGAGUUUUGAUUCAUCGAACUUCACAGGUGUUAAGCAAGAAGGCAUAAGCUCUGCUUCUGUGAACUCAGGCUUCUUUACAACCAUGGUAGCAGCAGGGGAUGUGAAGGCUGUUUUCACAGGCCAUGAUCACAUCAAUGACUUCUGUGGUCAGCUUACUGGUAUACAACUUUGUUAUGCUGGGGGUUUUGGAUACCAUGCCUAUGGAAAGGCUGGAUGGGAAAGGAGGGCGAGGGUAGUAGUAGCCAGUCUGGAGAAACUGGAGAAGGGAGGUUGGGGAGCAGUCAAGUCAAUCAAAACAUGGAAGCGCCUUGAUGAUGCACACCUUACUGCUGUUGAUGGUCAGGUCCUCUGGAGUAAGAGCUCUUCAGGGCCUUCAUUUCAUGAUCAAAAUAAUUUAUUUCAAUGUGGAACAAGCAUUCUUCUACUCCCUUCUGAAUCAUGUUCCAUGCUAUAGAGCCACUGCCACACCAUGACAGUUUAGGUUUCGUUUGGGUGGCCAAGGCCUAGGUGCUACUUCAUUCUUACUUACCUUUUAUUGGUGUUCGCAGAAAGAAAAAGAUUCAUGGUGCUUAAGAGAUGUCGUGCAUGACAAAACUAUUUAUGUGGAUGCUUUACUGCUAGCCUAGCUUUGAAGAAUAUGGUUCCAGAAGUUAUUCAAUGGGAAUGUUGUCAUUGGCAAUGGUAUUUAAUAAUAUCUAUCUGUACCAUUAAAUAAUUGUGUGUUGAAUGCGGUGUAUUGUCUACAGAUCUCAGAAUUUCAGGAUAACGACAGUGAUAAUCUAUGCAAAAGUAAAGUAGGAAACUAGGUUAUGAUAUUAUGGGAAGAAGAAUCCUGUAUUAUUCCCAAAAUGUUGCCAGAGAGCGCUU